Gossypium raimondii (Peruvian cotton) is the source of this 631-nucleotide long non-coding RNA. RefSeq lists it as uncharacterized. The transcript is spliced from 4 exons. Lineage: Eukaryota; Viridiplantae; Streptophyta; Magnoliopsida; Malvales; Malvaceae. The record is from RefSeq and is a predicted model, not a curated record.
GAGGAGGGGAGGGGGGAGGAGAAUUUCAAGUAUAUAUAUUUUCCAACCGAUAAAAAUAGAGGCUCAGCUCAAAAGAACUAAGCUCCUCACUCCUCUCACCGUAUUCUUAUACAUUCUUCAUCGUUUCGCAUCGCAGCAUUACAUUCGGAAGGAAAAGGGACCCAUCACCAUGGACAGAAGGGAGUUGAAUAUCAAGGGAAGAAGAAUCAAGAAAGCUGAGAAGAAAAUGAAAGAGAUGAAAGCCUCGACAGAAGAAAUGAGAAAUGAGAUGACCCAUCUGAUAAACUUGGCUGAGAAUUGUCAUAAUGCAUUCCUCCAAAUUAGGGAAGCAGUUAAUCCACUAAUCUUGUCUGCUCAGUCGUUGGAUGCUCAAGUCGAUGAACUGGUUUCUUCCUUCCUUGCUCAAAACCACGGCGAUUGAUCACUUCUCUUCCUGUUUGCGGUGGGUGCUUGGAGGGGUUAGAUCAGCUGGUAUUGUGGAAGGAUUUAUCACGUGGCUUCUUUUUAGUGUUUCUUAGUAGAAAUAAACAAGUGUGCUAUGAAUUUUAUUCUAAUGUUGUUUUUGUGUGUGAUCACUGGACAUACUAUAUGCUGGAAUUGCAGUUUAUGAUUUUUGGUGGCUUGUUGUUUC